Long non-coding RNA from Oncorhynchus masou masou (cherry salmon), 2306 nucleotides. RefSeq lists it as uncharacterized. NCBI's taxonomy places the organism in Eukaryota, Metazoa, Chordata, Actinopteri, Salmoniformes, Salmonidae. The transcript has 2 exons. The record is from RefSeq and is a predicted model, not a curated record.
AGUACUACAGUAUGACAUAAUACCCAUAAAACCUAGCAGUCAAACAAGGAAAUGGUUCCAUAUUUUUGUGUUUCGUGUAGGCUUACGCUGUCAUGAAGUUUUGAUAACCGUGUAAAUCUCUCCAGGACAAGGUGACUUCUAUCAAUAUAUUUGCCUGUAUUUACCCCCCCAAAAUAAAAUGCUAAUUAGCUGCUAAUGUAGCUAUCAUAAGGAACUACAAAUGCCAGGAUGAUCUGGACAAAACGGCCGAAUUGAGGCAAAGGAAAGAACGGUUAGUACAGCAUGCCAAACUGACCCCUGGGUGCCAGUGUUCCUGUACUGCGGUGGAGAAGAGGUCCACCGAGACCAUCACUAAAGAGCUCAGUGCCCAGCUAGAUUGUGCUCACAUCCAUCAGUAUACAUCCAAGGCCUGCCCCUAUACGCCACUGAUGGAGCUGACAGCGAGUGAGAUCAGUGAAGACCAUAAAAGAUGACUUUGGGGGAGCGGGCUGGUAUUCCCGAAAAUGGAGAAGGAGCAGGCCAUUCAACAGCGAAUUGAAAGAUACACCCAUCCAUAAAGGGAAUCGGAGUGGAAUUGUUUUUCCACCAAUUGUAUUUUUAUACCCGUUUCAACCUUGUCCCCGUCCUGCUGUUUCGACUCUCUCUCUCUCUCAACCUAUGAAUGCUCAGCUAUGAAAAGUCAACUGACAUUUGCUCCUGAGGUGUUGAACUGUUGCACCCUCUGUAACCACUGUGGAUAUUAUUUUUAUUUAAAAAAAGGGCUUUUGUCAAAUACAUUUGAUUGAUUGUUUGCUGUGAUGGGACAUUUUUAUAGUAUCUGUAACAUAUUUUGGUGUGUGUUUAAUCUGCAUCUUAACUUCUUAAAGUGGCAAUCAGCAGUAGAAACAAUAACAAAAUGCCUCCCUGCUCGUCUUUUGGUAAAAAUCUGAGGGAUUGAGAAAUGUAACCACUCUCAAUUACACAGACAGCGCUAUAGAUGCAAGGACUGACCAUGUACACAGUUCGCUUUGGAUAAAGGCGUCUGCUAAAUGGCAUAUGUUAUUAAAGUCUACUUUGAUGAACAGCCAAAAAGCACAUGAAAUCUGAUAUUUUAAGCCACAUUCCAAGUCUGUUACAAAUCUGAUUCCCGGCCACGUGACCGACUUCUGAGCGGUCAAAUCUGAUUUAUUUGUCCUCAAGAAGUGUUCUUUCGACGGUUGUUUGUCAUAUCUUGUUGCUCACUGGCUACCGUGUUCACAGUAUGGCAAGAAGAUGUGGCAGCUUAAUAGCUUGUUGAUUGUUUACAAAGAAAUGAGUCAACGUGCUAGAACGCUAAAUGGCUAGUUGAAUGCUGUGGUUAGCCAAACAUGAUUUGUUUUUGAAAGUUGGAUCAUCUUAUCCUUUGCGGCUUUAAAAGUGUUUUUACAUUAUAAUUUUCUACAUUAAAAAGCAACUGGAAAACAUCCAUGGCAGGCAUUGCUGUCACCUUAGCUCGCUACAUAACUUCUGAGCAAUUGGAAGCACGAGCAAACACAACCAAUCAGCCUACACCACCGCCCACACACGUCGUUACUAUGACAACGAGUUUAGCCAUGUCAGCAAGUGACUGUCUGAACAGACACACCUGAUUUGGUCACUGGUAACUUUCUGUUUGUAUAGUUAGUAGUCCACAACUGAUUUGAAAAACAAAACUGAUUUGAGCAUUAAGGCCUGCAGUGUGUACAAGUCUUAAGAGCUGUUCACACCUUGAUUGUACAAUAUUUGCCAAUUAUUCUUGAAAAAAUGAUUCAAGGUCUAUCGAGUUGGUUGUUGAUCAUUGCUAGACAGCCAUUUUCAAGUCGAGCCAAUGUUGUCUUGGUAAGCAACUCCAGUGUAUAUUUGGCCUUGUGUUUUAGGUUAUUGUCCUGCUGACAUAUGAAUUUGUCUCCCAGUGUCUGUUGGAAAGCAGACUGAAAUAAGUUUCCCUCCAGUAUGUUGCCUGUGCUUAGCUCUAUUCAAUUUCUUUAUAUCCCUCAAAUAACUCCGUAGUCCUUGCUGAUGACAAGCAUACCCAUAACAUGAUGCUGCCCACCACCAUGCUUGUUGUGUUGGAUUUGCCCCAAACAUAACGCUUUGUAUUCAGGACAAAAAGUGAAUUUCUUAGCCACAUUUUUUGCAUUAUUACUUUUUGCCUUAUUGGAAACAGGAUGCGUGUUUGGGAAUAUUUUUCUUCUGCACAGGCUUCCUUCUUUUCACUGUAAUUUAUGUUAUAGAAGUAACUACAAUGUUGUUGAUCCAUCCUCUGUUAUCUCCUAUCACAGCCAUUAAACUCUGUAACUGUUUUAAAA